Molecule: long non-coding RNA, 1203 nt
Organism: Etheostoma spectabile (orangethroat darter)
Lineage: Eukaryota; Metazoa; Chordata; Actinopteri; Perciformes; Percidae
Exons: 3
Source: RefSeq, a predicted model, not a curated record
GAAAAGUGCAACCACUGCGGAAGUAACUUAAACCUGCAUUCUAUCUGAAUUCCUGCAGAGGGCGACACGCGUGGUUGCAAAAGAGGUUGGUUUCAAUAGAAGUCUAUGGCGAAAUGAGCCACUUCUCACUUGAUUUAUUACCUCAGUAAACAGCUUCAUAAUGAGUUUAUGGUCUCGAUCGCUAGUUCUAAGUAUUCUGCAAUACAGAAUGAUGUUCAUUUUUGAAAUUACGGUCUCGUUGAUUUUAAAAUCGGCGAUAAAGCCGGGGGUGUUUUAGGGCGUGGCUAUGAUGUGAUUGACAGUUCUCGGCCUGUCAAUCAUGACAGAGUGUUAGCAAAGCUUGUCCACGGCACCUGAACUUCAUUUUGGGGGUUGACUGUUUCAUCGCUGUGGCUGUGACAUUUUGGUCGGAUAAUAAUAUCUUGUUCAGCGGUCGGUUGCACGGCAAGACACUCAAAGGAAUCGGCAGUUCAGUUUUUCCGACUUCCUUUUGAUGAGGCCAGGCUGAAGCAAUGGUUGGUGAACAUGAGGAGAGAGAGACCAGCAAAUGGAACCACGAAAAGUCACGUCUGCUGUUCACACUUUGAGGAAGAUCAGUUUUUUAGAGACAAGCAGGUAUCCACACUGAAAACUGAAUGAGCAGAGCCUCCAGAAGGAAGACCUGGUGUAUAGAGCCUCCAGAAGGAAGACCUGGUGUAUAGAGCCUCCAGAAGGAAGACGAGGUGUAUAGAGCCUCCAGAAGGAAGACAAGGUGUAUAGAGCCUCCAGAAGGAAGACCUGGUGUAUAGAGCCUCCAGAAGGAAGACCUGUUGUGUAGAGCGGCGUAUUUGGUGCCAUUUCAUCUGGAUGUGGAAACCAGAGCGUUGACCACAUCCAAAGUUCUCAAAUGUGUUCUGAUUGUAAAAAUGCCAGAAAAUCAUUUUUGGUUCAGCUUCUUCUGCUGGAAGGAUGGACAAUCUUUUGGCACUUGGUAGUUAGAGGUUCAAUUUCUUGUGGUUGACUUAGUUUCUGCUGUAGUUUGAGAGGUGAUAGUAGUAACAUUAAGUAGUUUUGUGGAUUAAAACUUUUAUAAAUAUUAAACUGGAAUAAAAUAAUGAAUAUACUCUAGCAGUCACAGGUGAAAGUAUGUUUGGUAAUUUCACAUAAAGGGUCUUGUAUAUUUUAUGUAUUUAUGUACUGUUAGAAUUAAAUAUUGACAUUGCA